Girardinichthys multiradiatus is the source of this 2106-nucleotide long non-coding RNA. RefSeq lists it as uncharacterized. The record is from RefSeq and is a predicted model, not a curated record. The transcript is spliced from 2 exons. Lineage: Eukaryota; Metazoa; Chordata; Actinopteri; Cyprinodontiformes; Goodeidae.
CAGGAAAAUCAGGAACAAAUGAAAAUAAAUACAUUAAAUCUAAUCGUUACAGAAAAAGAAAUGAAUAUAGAAAUGUACAUUUGAAACAUAGAAAUAGUAAAAAUAUGAUAAAAUGAAAUAAAAAUAAUCUACGUUCUUUAUAGGAAAGCUGCAGUUAUAAACUGAUUAAAAAAGAAAAGUAUUUCUGCACAUUUUAAGGCAAGUCUUCCGUCAACUUGUUUAAUUCUGGUGCUUGCAAUACUGACCAACGGGAUGACCUGAGGUGUCAAGAUGGUUGACAUCACCAGCAAUUGAAAUGUUUUUAGGUCAAAGACUGUUCAGUUAUUUAUAGAAAAAAAAAAAGAUUUUAAAAUCAUUACAUUUAAAAACAGGGAGGCACUGCUGUGAUAUAAUCAAUGUAGCUGGUUUGGGUCAAUACUCUGGCAGCAACAUUUUGGAUGAGCAGCAGCUUCAUGAUUUUUAACAUCACCAAUACAAUGAUCUAACCUUUUUUCUUUUUUAUAUAUAAAAAAAAGCAUCUGUUUGUGUCCUGUUUAAACCUUUUAUUCUGGCAAUGUUUUUUCUAAGAUGUUUACACAGUGAUUAAUAAACAGACUAUGUGAAUGUUAAAAUUUAGAUGUCAUAAUGCCACUGAAGUUUCAGGUAUGAGUCCUGAUUUCUAAUCUUGUAUUUUUGAUACAACAAAAAAAGACUUCAGUAUUUUACGGAUUAAGCUGAAAGAAACUCUGACCCGUCCACUCAUCAACAUUCUAACUGGUCAGUAGAAAUAUACAGUUGUCAUCCAUAGAUCUGUUAAGAUAUUGGAAUAUGGCAUAAUUUGAACUAAAGCACAGUAUUAAAGUAUCCAAUAAAAUUGGUACGAGAAUGAAACUGAGGAACCUUCAUGUGAUAUUUUGUUAUUCAGAUUUAUAAUAGCCAAAUAAUACAAAAUAGUUCUGUUGUGCCAACUAAGCACAGAACCAAUCUUAAACAUUUACCCUGUCAGGAUGUAAUGAUCAAGUUUCACCAACUAAGAUCCAGUAAUAACAAGAAGUUAGAGUAGAAUAAAUCACAUUUAUUCCACCAGUUUAAAGUUCAUGAAGCACAAAGAAGUCUUUGUAGUCAGAAGUCACCAGCAAAGUAUUCUGGGAAAAAACCGAUGAAAACCGAGCACAAGGCACACAUGGCAUAAUGUCAACAUUGUGGUCUAAGAGUGCAGGUCAUGGACCAUAGUUGAAGGGGGUCUUUAUUACAUAUUUCCAAACAAAUUUUAGUAUAAAGGACUAAAUAUAAUACAUCUUAAUUGCGGUAACUCUAGUUUAGACCCUUAUUAAUGAUGGUUGAAGACAUACAAUCAUCUCCAAACUAUUGCAGUAAUAGAAUCAUCUUAUCGGACCAGCUUUGGAUAAAACAUUUCAAAGAUACUUAUCCGGUUCCAUGCGACACGAAAAAGAUAAAAUACUGCAGUUGCUCCUUCACUGAAUACAACAACCAUUGGGAAGUAGAAAUACAUCUUUAUUAACUUAAGUCAUUUCUGAGCCGUGGAGCUUUCCUUACAAUGCCAAUGAAAACUAAUGAAAACUAAUGACAGAGCAUACACUUUAAUUUUCAAUAGGUACAUCCUAAUUCAUACAAGAUGGCAAUAUUUGAGAAAAAACAACCCAACCAAAGUGAAAGAAUGAAACCAUCAGGGAGCCUUUUGUUUGAGAUUACAAAUAAACCUUCCAGCACAACAACAUCACAGUUUUCUUUAUGCUAAAAUGUUGCUUUCCACACAUGCAUUGCUCCCAUUCUGUGACAUAGCUGCAAUUCAAAUUAACUGCACUAGUGAUCUUUCUCAAAGUACUAUAUAUUUAGAUCAUCGAAGAUGGAGUAAUUCUCCCCUCAACUUCCAUACACAAGAGUGGACCCUAUAAAUGUAUUCACAGACCUCUCACUCUAUCCCCCACCAUGCUGCAAACAGCAGGGCCCAGUCCAGUGGCAGUUUAAGAAAGAGUGGGAGGAAUGCAAGUGAAGAUGCAAGAACCAUCAGCUGAAUCUUCAUGCCAGCCCCUCCAUGGCCCAUGUCACAGCUGGGGAAAGUGGGAGUAGGAUGCUAUCACUGAGGCAGCUGCAGCAACGUGCCCU